RNAcentral lists this ribosomal RNA (433 nucleotides) under uncultured bacterium. Its description in RNAcentral is "partial 16S ribosomal RNA". It matches the Rfam family "Bacterial small subunit ribosomal RNA", at positions 29 to 507 of the family's 1533-position model. The record is from RNAcentral.
AACGAACGCUGGCGGCAUGCCUAACACAUGCAAGUCGAACGAGACCUUCGGGUCUCGUGGCGCACGGGUGCGUAACGCGUGGGCACCUGCCCUUAGGUUCGGAAUAACUCCCCGAAAGGGGUGCUAAUACCGGAUAAUGUCUUCGGACCAAAGAUUUAUCGCCUUUGGAUGGGCCCGCGUUGGAUUAGCUAGUUGGUAGGGUAAAAGCCUACCAACGCGACGAUCCAUAGCUGGUCUGAGAGGAUGAUCAGCCACACUGGGACUGAGACACGGCCCAGACUCCUACGGGAGGCAGCAGUGGGGAAUAGUGGACAAUGGGCGAAAGCCUGAUCCAGCAAUGCCGCGUGAAUGAUGAAGGCCUUAGGGUUGUAAAGCUCUUUUACCCGGGAUGAUAAUGACAGUACCGGGAGAAUAAGCGCCGGCUAACUCCGUG